Molecule: non-coding RNA, 3982 nt
Organism: Coturnix japonica (Japanese quail)
Lineage: Eukaryota; Metazoa; Chordata; Aves; Galliformes; Phasianidae
Source: RefSeq, a predicted model, not a curated record
CAAACCCAGGGAUCUCAGCUACUCCUCAUAAACCUUCCCUCCAGACCUUUCACCAUCUUUAUAGCCCUUCUUUGGAUGCUCUCUAAUAGUUUUGUGUCCUUAUAUUGUGGCGCUGAAUGCUUUAGCCAGGUUUUGCCUGCUGAUUUUAAUUCCAUGUGAAUAAAAACUGGGAAUUUGGGAUUUAGCCUAUUACUAGCUUAACAACAACAAUAAUAACUCUAACGUGUAGUUAUAAGUAAUAGGAACAGAGUGACAGCAGUCAUUAGUUAUAGGUAAUUAGUUAUCAGCAAUGGAAAGAGAGUGGUAGCAGCAGGCUGCGGCUGGCUGCUCGGCAGACACUUUGGUGGGAGAACCACCGCGACUCCCCUUGGCAGGUGUAAGCCAUAGAACUGCAAAAUGAGUAACUUCUUAUUUUUGGCAUUAUAGAGGCUUUGUUUUCUCAUUCAUCCUUGGUCUGUCAGUAAGGUUCAAAUUUCUCCCUGGGAUGGGGUUAAAUCCAGAAGGAACCAGGAAUGUCCCCAUGGUCUUUCCUGCCCUGGUACCAUCAAAGGCCCAUUGGUGGGUGGGUGAUCACAAGGCACCAAAAGAUCACCCAAAGUCAACAAAACAGCCCAGAGGUAUGAGGCAAGCAGACAGACUAAAAGCUCUUUCCCCCACAGAAAAGCCAUUCUGUGCUACCAAAAGACAAGAUGAAAUAAAAGAGCCUGAAUUUAACACAACACACGCAUGCGCUUUAUGAAUGAAUUCAACUUAAAGGUCACUGGGGUGAUAAGCAGUGCAGUAAAGUGUACAAUAGAAGUCAUUUUAAGCUGUGAUUCCUAACAGCUUCUUGUUUGGAGAAAACACAGUUUCAACCCUAUUUUUUGCACCUGUGUGCUAGUUACCUGAUUAGCCCAGAACUUAACAUGUGCUCAGUCUGUUCCUUUCUCUUUUAGUAGGUGGUGGUGCUUGUGUGUGCUGCUUGGGUCAAAGCUGUGUGAUGGGCUUCAGUUUCUACUUGCUGUAAAUGCUGACGCACCUUGAUAGCAUUCUUGUUACUGUUUCCAUUGCUCUGCUUCCAGAAAUCAUUCUACCUAUGAACAUCUUCAUCAAUUUUUUCCUAAUCGUUUGAUAUUUUUCUUCAUCUGUGAAGUGAUAAGUGUAGCUGGCCUUUAUGUAAACCUGUAAAAGCUUCUGAGAGAUACUUUUUCAGGUUUGGAUUCCCAUGCCACGUGUUUCCUAAGGGUUUUUCUCCUAAGUAAUUCCCAUUGCACUGAGUGGAGUUACUGCCUCCUCCAUCUGAACCUGCUCUCAGCUUCUGAUAAACCCAGCAACUCGUUGUCCAGCUUCCUGUUCCUGAUAUGCAGAACACAUGUCAGAACAACUGGCCUAAUGAGAGAUGAAAAAUGGACAUGGCCAGGUCUGGUUCUGGAAACUGCAACACUUAGUGAGGCAUCAAAUAACAUCUACAGGAAUGUCCAGCUGAAGAGCAAAAGUUCCUUGAUGAGUCAAGACUGCGGGAUGCCUCACUGUUCAAAUGCCUUUUGUUGCUCCCUCAGGGUACCAUUGGCAUUACACACUCCCAGGGCAAACAGUAUUUGGAAACAGCAAAAGUUUUCUGAAUUCAGCACUGUUGCUUAAGAGUUGCUGUGGGCUGAACGAGGUGAGCUGUCUAAUAGGAAAAGGCAAGAACAGACUGAAUGAACAGGACAUUAAUAUUUUGACACCCUGUUAUGGGGUUCAGAUUUCAGUUUUACUAUUGUCUGCAUGUCUUGAAGAAUGGGAGAAACAGUUGUCUGCUUUUCUAUUACACCCCCUGAAGUCAAGUGGAGAUAUGGAUUCUCAGAAUCUCUUAAAAUGGGGCCUAAGUAGUCAUCUAAGAAGGGAAAAAAAAAAAAAAGCCACAGAGCAUUAUUUAUUCAGUGCAACACAAACCUUUUUUUUAAAAGACAUGAUCAUGCCUCAUAAUAAGCAAACAAUAUAUAGAGAGGCACCUAUAUAGAAAGCCCAGUUCAGUUAACUGUAGGCAGGUCCCAAGAGAUCUAAUGGAGACACGUUUUAACUAAAGUAAAUGAAAUCCUUUCUGAGCAAACAAGGAAGUGCAGUUGGGUUCAUAUCCAUUAAAUAAUUGAAGCAUUUGGCUCACAGGGUCAUAUUUACACACCAAAAUUAAACACUUAUGAGCACUAUUUGGUAGAGAGUUUCUUUACUCAGAAAGGAGCUCUUGGGAAUCACAGGUCAGACUGAGAAUAUGCCACAAGGCAGCUAUUUCUCCAAACUUGCCACUUUGCUAAUUGUAUCUAUACAAAGUCAGGAGUUUCCCACCUAAACUGUGGUGCAGCAAUCUGUUCCCAUCUGUCUUUUUUUUUCUUUGGCAGAUAUUGGGUUGGGCACUUGCCUGAGAAAUAGGGUGGCCUUAUUUUUUAUUUACUACCACAAUGUAAGAGUUGAAAAAUACAUCUAUUACAUCUAGCUAGAAGAGCUAGAUGUGCAUCAUUCUUUUACAACUGAAUAUUUUUUAAUAGAAAAAUAUGUAAGACUCAUUAAUUCCAAAGGGACUGUAAGCAGAGGGAUCAUAACUUCCCAGAUGUGUGAGGAAUGCAAUCCCUUGGAGCUGCUAUAUCAGUAACAAGAAUAUUCACAAUUAUAGCACCUUUGGCUAGGAUAAGCAUUAUGUAUUGGAGCUUGGAUCACUCUUCAGUUAUGAAAGAGGGAGUUUAUACUGUGGUCCAAAAGCACCAUUACAGAAAACACAAUGCUGACUUGCUGUCUACUGAACUAAGUCCAGUAUCAUAGUUUAACUGUAGCAGCAUUUAAGCUCAUCCCAAGAUUUGAGCAUGUUUUGCUGAAAUCAGUGUUGCUGUGAGCUAGGAGGUGUAGUUAUUUCUCAUUUUACCUGCUCUUGAGCUCUUAAAAAAUCUUGAAUAUUCCAGUAUUAAUAGCCCCUAGGUAUGUGGUGCUCAACUUUGUCCAUUUUGUGUCUGACCUACUCUGUUCAUAGAGUUUUCCUUUGAGGGAAGCUGGCCAUGAAUGGUUACGUUGAGUUACACCUUCUGCAAAUCAGAAGUAAACAAGAGGCUGGAUUUAUGCAUUUGCCCUGUCCAAUUUUGAAUCUAUCUAUCAGCUUCAUGGCCAAUUUGAAACAAUGACUAAACAAAGAAAAAAACAAACCGCCAUAAACUUGAACUCUUGUUGUCUUGCCACUGUCUAAUUGAGGGUUGACAAGAAAAUUUAGUGCUACAUCUGUGGCAGUGUUAAACUGCAUUUAUUAAGAAAGAAAUUUUACCGCAAUGUGUAUGCUUUCUCUUGUUCAUUUUCACGCUGAGCUAUAAAGUUUCACUACAGCAUUCUUUUCCAGGUUGCUGCUGUACUCUCAUCAUUAAUCAUUGAGUGAAAUUUUGCUUCUGCUGUGUCUUCCAUACUGUUUUCAAAUUCUUGUUUUUAUUUCCCAAGCACUGCUUUCAUCUUGCCUUGAAUCGUUCACUAUUUUUUCAGUUAAUCCACUCUAGUGGAGUGGCAAACAAGGCUGUCCCCAAAGACAUGCCUGCUGCUGAUUGCAAGCAUUUUUUUUAGUAUUGUAAUUGCACCAGAUGACAUUGUGAAAUGAAUCUCAUCCUGUAAUACAGACUGUGAGCGAUAUGGAAAGCAAUCAUAAGAAAGUCUCUAUUGUAUACAGGUCUAACCUAUGUUAAAUUAAUUGAAAUCAGUUUCUGUGGGAUCAAACCUGAAAUUAUCACCUUCAACAAAACCUGGCAUGCUAUUUGUAUAGUUACUGUUCAUUAGAAUAUAACUUGUGAAUCAACACAAAAAAAGAAAUGUGUCACGCACCACUUAUUUUAGAAGAUCCCAUGGUUCUCAUUUGCCCUUGCUCUUGUUCUGUCCCUUGUUGUCACAUUUAAAAGAUUCUAGAAUUCCAGCUAUAGGAGAAGCAAAGGCCUCUACUACUGGUACAAGUGUCCUAGAAGUCAGACACACAAAUUCUUCUGGAAAAGAUACCACCCAG